This 255-nucleotide ribosomal RNA is filed under the name uncultured bacterium. RNAcentral's name for it is "partial 16S ribosomal RNA". It matches the Rfam family "Bacterial small subunit ribosomal RNA", at positions 524 to 776 of the family's 1533-position model. The record is from RNAcentral.
UACGUAGGGUGCGAGCGUUGUCCGGAAUUAUUGGGCGUAAAGAGCUCGUAGGCGGUCUGUCGCGUCGAUCGUGAAAACUUGGGGCUUAACCCUGAGCUUGCGGUCGAUACGGGCAUGACUGGAGUUCGGCAGGGGAGACUGGAAUUCCUGGUGUAGGCGGUGAAAUGCGCAGAUAUCAGGAGGAACACCGGUGGCGAAGGCGGGUCUCUGGGCCGAUACUGACGCUGAGGAGCGAAAGCGUGGGGAGCGAACAGG